GGUAAUUACGGGCCAGCAGCCGCGGUAAUACGUAGGGCCCAAGCGUUGUCCGGAAUUAUUGGGCGUAAAGAGCUCGUAGGCGGUUUGUCGCGUCUGGUGUGAAAACUCGAGGCUCAACCUCGAGCUUGCAUCGGGUACGGGCAGACUAGAGUGCGGUAGGGGAGACUGGAAUUCCUGGUGUAGCGGUGGAAUGCGCAGAUAUCAGGAGGAACACCGAUGGCGAAGGCAGGUCUCUGGGCCGCAACUGACGCUGAGGAGCGAAAGCAUGGGGAGCGAACAGGAUUAGAUACCCUGGUAGUCCAUGCCGUAAACGUUGGGCACUAGGUGUGGGGCUCAUUCCACGAGUUCCGUGCCGCAGCAAACGCAUUAAGUGCCCCGCCUGGGGAGUACGGCCGCAAGGCUAAAACUCAAAGGAAUUGACGGGGGCCCGCACAAGCGGCGGAGCAUGCGGAUUAAUUCGAUGCAACGCGAAGAACCUUACCAAGGCUUGACAUGCACGGGAAGCCACCAGAGAUGGUGGUCUCUUUGGACACUCGUGCACAGGUGGUGCAUGGUUGUCGUCAGCUCGUGUCGUGAGAUGUUGGGUUAAGUCCCGCAACGAGCGCAACCCUCGUCCCAUGUUGCCAGCGGGUUAUGCCGGGGACUCAUGGGAGACUGCCGGGGUCAACUCGGAGGAAGGUGGGGAUGACGUCAAAUCAUCAUGCCCCUUAUGUCUUGGGCUUCACGCAUGCUACAAUGGCCGGUACAAAGGGCUGCGAUACCGUAAGGUGGAGCGAAUCCCAAAAAGCCGGUCUCAGUUCGGAUUGGGGUCUGCAACUCGACCCCAUGAAGUCGGAGUCGCUAGUAAUCGCAGAUCAGCAACGCUGCGGUGAAUACGUUCCCGGGCCUUGUACACACCGCCCGUCAAGUCACGAAAGUCGGUAACACCCGAAGCCCAUGGCCCAACCGUUCGCGGGGGGAGUGCGAGGGGACAGAC
This 976-nucleotide ribosomal RNA is filed under the name Cellulosimicrobium cellulans. RNAcentral's name for it is "bacterial SSU rRNA". It matches the Rfam family "Bacterial small subunit ribosomal RNA", at positions 496 to 1472 of the family's 1533-position model. The record is from RNAcentral. Lineage: Bacteria; Bacillati; Actinomycetota; Actinomycetes; Micrococcales; Promicromonosporaceae.